CCUUUUGGGCAACGGAUCAGUCGAAAAAACUUUACUCUCUCCAUCGCCGAGCUUCUUUGUUGGCUGAAGAAGGAAGGGGAAAGGCUUCGAAAUCGAUUGGGUCGAGCUGCCUAUAGUUUCUAAUGUUGGCCACGGAUCUGGAUUUAGUUGAGGUUAGCAUGAACUUUUCGCAUGAUAUGGAUAAUGGAUAUGAGAAAAUUUGCAGGAGAAUGAAUCCACCGAGGGUUGUAGUUGAUAAUGAAGCCUGCAAGAAUGCUACGGGGAUAAGGUUGGGCUAUUGGCCGCUGACACAGUUGAUUAGGUGAAGUGUAAAACAAUUGCUAUCUGCCUGCAAGAAGAUCACCAAAGCCUGGUUGGAUUGAAACAACAAUCUAAUUUAAAAUAUGGUGUAAAAGUUGUGAAGUCAGACGAACAGGUUCAUCUUGUUAAACGGAUGAGCAAAUGCAAGCUGUCCAAACUGAAUUGAACAGCAUUGAAACUCGUAUUCACAAUCCUUUAGCAUUAAGAAGCCGAUAGCAGCACUUACUCAACUGGCACAGAAGCAAUCUCAACAGAUCCAAGAGCUGCAAUCAGUUCCAACUUCCAAUGGAAGGGUAUGUGUCUUUACUUGGACACUAGGAUGCGAAACUGUAGGACAGUUUGUUUUUGCAGCAUAUUGCUGGUAUCUAUGAUUCAUCUCAUAUGUAAUUAUUAUGCACUUCUGGAUGAAUAAUGACCCCUUGUAUAUUGCUCUCCAGUGAAUGAAAUCUGUGUAGGAAGCUAAUCUUUGGAUUCAGUGUUUUUGAAAUAUUUGUUGAACAGUACAGAGGUGAUUGCGUAAUGUACAGCA
Molecule: long non-coding RNA, 829 nt
Organism: Rosa rugosa (rugosa rose)
Lineage: Eukaryota; Viridiplantae; Streptophyta; Magnoliopsida; Rosales; Rosaceae
Exons: 6
Source: RefSeq, a predicted model, not a curated record